Molecule: ribosomal RNA, 477 nt
Filed under: uncultured bacterium
Lineage: Bacteria
Description: partial 16S ribosomal RNA
Rfam family: Bacterial small subunit ribosomal RNA
Source: RNAcentral
GAUUAACGCUGGCGGCGUGCAUAACACAUGCAAGUCGAACGAUGAAACUUUAAUGAACCCUUCGGGGAGAAUUAAAGCGGAUUAGUGGCGAACGGGUGAGUAACGCGUGAGUAACCUGCCUUACACAAGGGGAUAGCCUUUGGAAACGAAGAAUAAUACCCUAUAAAACCAUAAAAGCACAUGCAAUUAUGGUCAAAGUGAUAGCGGUGUAAGAUGGACUUGCGUCUGAUUAGCUAGUUGGUGAGAUAAAAGCCCACCAAGGCAACGAUCAGUAGCCGGCUUGAGAGAGUGUACGGCCACAUUGGGACUGAGACACGGCCCAGACUCCUACGGGAGGCAGCAGUGGGGAAUUUUGCACAAUGGGGGAAACCCUGAUGCAGCGACGCCGCGUGAUUUAGAAGGCCUUCGGGUUGUAAAAAUCUUUUGUAUAGGAAGAAAAUGACAGUACUAUACGAAUAAGGUCCGGCUAAGUACGUG